Molecule: ribosomal RNA, 462 nt
Filed under: uncultured bacterium
Lineage: Bacteria
Description: partial 16S ribosomal RNA
Rfam family: Bacterial small subunit ribosomal RNA
Source: RNAcentral
CCUACGGGCGGCAGCAGUGAGGAAUAUUGGUCAAUGGACGCAAGUCUGAACCAGCCAAGUAGCGUGCAGGAUGACGGCCCUCCGGGUUGUAAACUGCUUUUAGUUGGGAAUAAAAGGGGGCUCGUGAGCCCCGUAUUGUAUGUACCAUCAGAAAAAGGACCGGCUAAUUCCGUGCCAGCAGCCGCGGUAAUAAGGAAGGUCCGCGCGUUAUCCGGAUUUUUUGGGUUUAAGGGGAGCGUAGGCCGGCUUUUAAGUCCGCUGGGAAAGUCCGGGGCCCAACCGUGGAAUUGCAGUUGAAACUGGGGGCCUUGAGUGCAGACAGGGAUGACGGAAUGCAUGGUGUAGCGGUGAAAUGCAUAGAUAUCAUGAAGAACCCCGAUCGCGAAGGCAAGUGUCCGGGGUGCAACUGACGCUGAGGCUCGAAAGUGCGGGGAUCAAACAGGAUUAGAUACCCCGGUAGUC